RNAcentral lists this ribosomal RNA (253 nucleotides) under uncultured bacterium. Its description in RNAcentral is "partial 16S ribosomal RNA". It matches the Rfam family "Bacterial small subunit ribosomal RNA", at positions 524 to 776 of the family's 1533-position model. The record is from RNAcentral.
UACGUAGGGUGCAAGCGUUGUCCGGAAUUAUUGGGCGUAAAGGGCUUGUAGGCGGUUUGUCGCGUCUGCUGUGAAAUUUCGGGGCUCAACCCCGAACUUGCAGUGGGUACGGGCAGACUAGAGUGUGGUAGGGGAGACUGGAAUUCCUGGUGUAGCGGUGAAAUGCGCAGAUAUCAGGAGGAACACCGGUGGCGAAGGCGGGUCUCUGGGCCGAUACUGACGCUGAGGAGCGAAAGCGUGGGGAGCGAACAGG